CGCCCGAGAAGUCGAUUUGGAGGUUGUGCCCUUGAGGCGUGGCUUCCGGAGCUAACGCGUUAAAUCGACCGCCUGGGGAGUACGGCCGCAAGGUUAAAACUCAAAUGAAUUGACGGGGGCCCGCACAAGCGGUGGAGCAUGUGGUUUAAUUCGAUGCAACGCGAAGAACCUUACCUGGUCUUGACAUCCACAGAACUUUCCAGAGAUGGAUUGGUGCCUUCGGGAACUGUGAGACAGGUGCUGCAUGGCUGUCGUCAGCUCGUGUUGUGAAAUGUUGGGUUAAGUCCCGCAACGAGCGCAACCCUUAUCCUUUGUUGCCAGCGGUCCGGCCGGGAACUCAAAGGAGACUGCCAGUGAUAAACUGGAGGAAGGUGGGGAUGACGUCAAGUCAUCAUGGCCCUUACGACCAGGGCUACACACGUGCUACAAUGGCAUAUACAAAGAGAAGCGACCUCGCGAGAGCAAGCGGACCUCAUAAAGUAUGUCGUAGUCCGGAUUGGAGUCUGCAACUCGACUCCAUGAAGUCGGAAUCGCUAGUAAUCGUAGAUCAGAAUGCUACGGUGAAUACGUUCCCGGGCCUUGUACACACCGCCCGUCACACCAUGGGAGUGGGUUGCAAAAGAAGUAGGUAGCUUAACCUUCGGGAGGGCGCUUACCACUUUGUGAUUCAUGACUGGGGUGAAGUCUAAGGGGGGCCCCCCGAAAAAAUUUUUUUUCCCGCGUGGUUUUUUUAGAAAACCCGCGCCCUUUUCCCCGAGGGGCCCCCCCCUCGCAACGGGCGUUUCUCCCAGGAAUUUCCCCUCAUUCCGCGGGUCACAGGGGGGAGGGGGACCCCCGGCUCGGGGGGGGGGGGGGCGGGGGGGGGGGGGGGAGGGGGUCCGGGGGGGGGGGCGCGGGGGGGUGUUCCAAUCCAAAGGUGGGGGGGGCGGGGGGGGGGGGGGGUUGGCGGCGCCCAAUUUUUUCGGAAAGAGGGGGGGGGCCCCGGCCGUGAUAAGAGGGGGGGGGGGGGGCAAGGGGAAGAUUAGGGGGGGGGGUUUUCUUCGGGGGGGGGGAAGGGCACACGCGGGGGGGGGGUUGUUAAACCCUCCCGCGCCCUCCCGGCGCGGGGGGGGGGGGGGGGGGGUUUUCCCCCCCGGGGGGGGGGGGUUUUUUCUCCACGAAGCGGGGGGUGGGGGGGGGGUGUCAGACGCGGGGGGAGGGCCGCCGGGGGGGGGGGGUACU
This 1221-nucleotide ribosomal RNA is filed under the name Klebsiella pneumoniae. RNAcentral describes it as "bacterial SSU rRNA". The stretch from base 1 to 714 matches the Rfam family "Bacterial small subunit ribosomal RNA", at positions 798 to 1533 of the family's 1533-position model. Lineage: Bacteria; Pseudomonadati; Pseudomonadota; Gammaproteobacteria; Enterobacterales; Enterobacteriaceae. The record is from RNAcentral.